Ictalurus punctatus (channel catfish) is the source of this 1310-nucleotide long non-coding RNA. The record is from Ensembl. NCBI's taxonomy places the organism in Eukaryota, Metazoa, Chordata, Actinopteri, Siluriformes, Ictaluridae.
GGCAUACGAAGCUCCAGCAUGCGAAAAUGCAAAUGCAGGUGAGGUAUUUGUAAAUUUUGUUCACUCUGUCCUCUUACCUUCUCAAGUUGGCCAGGUUUCUUCAUUACGGUUCCCUUUCACUCAGGGACAAGCUCAGCAAGGUUAUGACAUAGCAGCACGUUUCGAAUUCACUUCAAAAUGCAGAUCAUAAGGAGCGAGACAAUAAAAUGCACAAGCAUGCUUCUCUGUGGCUUACUGCUAAUCUACUGCCAGAUCACACAUGUUGGGGCUCAAGACACAUAUGUGGCAGAGGUGAUGAUCGAAGGGAACGCAACCAUGGAUGUAUCUGGAUUCAUAUCUGAAAUGAUCAUGGACAUCACAACCACCACGUCCAUCGUGGACGCUGAAAUAAUCGGCGAAUGUGAGCUCGUUGGUGAUGAGACAACAUGCUGGUGUGAGCCUAAUUACAUUUGGAGUGACCUAGUGUGCGACACUUUCACUACCUGCUGCAACACUAUACAGUGUGUGGCGAAUGUCUCCGAUUUCACGCCGAUGUGUGUUCCCCAAGUGAACGUUACUCUUUAUGGAGUCCUCACCAUGUCCUCCGUAACCACCCUUCACACGCAGCUGGAAGCUGAGUUCAAGCUGCUGAAUGGGUUCAACACGUUCACCAGUCUAAUAAUUACUGGCGGUCAGACUUUCACUGUGAGUCUCAAUGCCACGUGUAAAUCUGCGAAGCUUCAAAACAUAAUCUCAUACAUGAUAACGACCUACACGUACAUUACAAAUUUCAACAUUACAACGACAGGAAUGGCCAGUAUCGAAAUUCCUCAGGGGAAGGUGUGUUAUAAUUCACAGUACAAACUGAACUGCAGCACAGAGGAAACCAUGGAGACGUGCACAUGGAUGAUUGCUUAUCCUAACCAGUACCCACAGAUAAUUGGGGUAGGGUCAGAAGUGGAACUACUGCCUUGUUCAAACCAAUCAUCAAUCAACCUUCUGAACAUAAAAGGGAAUUGGGCAGGUGAAUGUCUAAAUCCUUGUCAUUUUUACCAAAGAACUUACAAUGAGAACGAGACGCUAAAACAAAGCAUUGUUGUCUACAACAAUUUUUCAUGUUUUUGAAAGCACACCUACGUAUAUUAUAUCGGAAUAUUGGAAGAUCCAGUUGCAAACUGAGCAUAAGUCAGUUUUACACACCGUUAGAUAAAUGCACACAAGAUUUGGAUUAGUUCUUGCAAAAACAGCAUUAAAGUACCUCCAAAAUGUCAUUCCAUAUAAUUACAGAUAAUAUACGUAGGAUAAAAAAAAAAUAUAUAUAUAUAUAUAUA